UGGGGAAUAUUGCACAAUGGGCGAAAGCCAGAUGCAGCGACGCCGCGUGCGGGAUGAAGGCCUUCGGGUUGUAAACCGCUUUUAAUUGGGAGCAAGCGAGAGUGAGUGUACCUUUUGAAUAAGCACCGGCUAACUACGUGCCAGCAGCCGCGGUAAUACGUAGGGUGCAAGCGUUAUCCGGAAUUAUUGGGCGUAAAGAGCUCGUAGGCGGUUUGUCACGCCUGGUGUGAAAGUCCAUCGCUUAACGGUGGAUCUGCGCCGGGUACGGGCAGGCUAGAGUGCAGUAGGGGAGAUUGGAAUUCCCGGUGUAACGGUGGAAUGUGUAGAUAUCGGGAAGAACACCAAUGGCGAAGGCAGAUCUCUGGGCUGUUACUGACGCUGAGGAGCGAAAGCAUGGGGAGCGAACAGGAUUAGAUACCCGUGGUAGUCCAUGCCGUAAACGGUGGAUGCUGGAUGUGGGACCCUUCCACGGGUUCCGUGUCGGAGCUAACGCGUUAAGCAUCCCGCCUGGGGAGUACGGCCGCAAGGCUAAAACUCUAAAGUGAAUUGAC
This 551-nucleotide ribosomal RNA is filed under the name uncultured bacterium. RNAcentral's name for it is "partial 16S ribosomal RNA". It matches the Rfam family "Bacterial small subunit ribosomal RNA", at positions 355 to 914 of the family's 1533-position model. The record is from RNAcentral.